This is a long non-coding RNA of Frankliniella occidentalis (western flower thrips), 1310 nucleotides long. RefSeq lists it as uncharacterized. The record is from RefSeq and is a predicted model, not a curated record. The transcript is spliced from 2 exons. Lineage: Eukaryota; Metazoa; Arthropoda; Insecta; Thysanoptera; Thripidae.
CCCACCUCGCAAGGGGUGACUUUAGUGCCGGGUACAGAGAUGUGAUGUGACAUAACACUUCGUCCAUCCUCGCAUUGCGUUUAUUUUUACGCGUAACUGGCACUAGUCACACCUUUGGCAUAUUAUCGGUGGACGUGUGAAAAAAAAGCAAGGAGUGAUGACUUCUCCAAAAUUUUCCAGUUGUUAAGUAAUAUGAGAUAAGGUCAAUUUUUUCGAAGGUGAAAAAUCAAAUUCACUUUCCGGAUUGGUGACGGGAGCUGGGCUGUCGCGAUUUGCAUCUAAUAUGGUUCCGUUCUGCAUUUUGGUCUACCCGCGCCCCGUCCUUUGCUGCGUUACCCCGUGGCCUGGGCACAAUGCGCCUGCCUGAACGAGUUUUGCAGACCUCCAAGGGAACAUGUCGGCAUAAGGGAUUGCAUUUUAUAGUGUUGAAGAUGCGCGAGCGUGUCUCCGGGGUGUAGCACUUGAAUGGCAUUCCACUCGGGUCUUCCCCCCAUCCCAAGGUACCCAGCAGGGCCAGCCAGCGCCCCCCAAGGGGCUCCCCUGGGCCCGCCAGGGUCCCGUCGGACAAGCCGCCAGUCCGGACGGCGCCAAGCCUGAGGACGACAAGCAGCGGAGGCUGUUCGCCCCGCGCCCGCUCCUGCAGGCCCAGCAGCAGCCUUCGGGGCAGCAGCCGCAGCAGCCCCAGCAGCCGCAGCCCAAGCAAGGGGGUCGCAUCGUCCGCCGACUGUCUGACAACGUGCAGCAGCAGCAGCAGCGACAGGCCGCACCACCCAGCCCCGCGCGCAGGAGCUCGGCCGUCCCCGCGACCACCAGAAGGGAGACGGUCAUGAUGUCGCUCCCGUAGCUGGCUCAGCUGCCGAUUGAAGGAAAGGCACACACUUACUUGAUUUCGUAUCCGCGGCGUCUUACUGGAUGUCACUGUUAUGCCCAUGCAAUUUACGUGACAAAUGACACUUAGCGGACAAUUUGUCCUUCCUGAUGAGGUUUCCACCAGUGACUAAGUAAUGAGGGGCGUUUGAGCUAAUGAAUUUAGAUGUAAGUACAUUUGCCUCGUUAACUAUGGUCCCUUACACUCGCUCUGACAGUGGUGGUAGGUUGGCGAAUCGCUACUAGCCACAUUGACUGAUAAGAUAAUUGCACUGUGUCGAUGUAACCUUUUUUAAAACUAAUUGUGUACACACUGCUCAUGUAAAUAAAUGAAAUACGACGUGGGAGUUUUUUUUGCGUAUAGAUCAGUUUUGUCCAGUUGACGAAACCAUCGUGUAUAUUCGCCUGUGAUUUGUGAGAAAAUAAAAUUAUUUAACUUGUGA